CCAACGUGGAUACCCUGUGAGGUCACUCUCGCAGGCUCUGUCCAUGUGGCGUAUGGGAGCGUAGCGUCUGCGGGCGCAGUGAUGUACAGUCCCCUUCCACGACGUUGGAUAACAUGCACGUUCCCAGCCCUGUGGCUGGUGUGGACGGCAUCCUGUAUAUUCCUACACCUUCCCAGAGCUCUCGGGCUAUGACUGGGGAGACAAACCAUGCAGGAUACAAAU
This is a small nucleolar RNA of Pseudophryne corroboree (corroboree frog), 222 nucleotides long. RefSeq annotates it as small nucleolar RNA SNORA73 family. The record is from RefSeq and is a predicted model, not a curated record. Lineage: Eukaryota; Metazoa; Chordata; Amphibia; Anura; Myobatrachidae. The transcript has a single exon.